GACGAACGCUGGCGGCGUGCCUGACACAUGCAAGUCGGACGGUUCUUGCACCUUCAAGCUUGCUUGCUGGUGCAGGGAUAGUGGCGGACGGGUGAGUAACGCGUGAACAUCUACCCAUUGGAGGGGGACAACCCGUCGAAAGGCGGGCUAAUACCGCGUAAGCCGUGAGGUGAGAGGCUGCCUAUUGGUGCCGCCGAUGGAUGGGUUCGCGUCCUAUCAGCUGGUUGGUGGGGUAACGGACCUACCAAGGCGAAGACGGGUAGCCGGUCUGAGAGGAUGGCCGGCCACACUGGAACUGAGACACGGUCCAGACUCCUACGGGAGGCAGCAGUGGGGAAUAUUGGGCAAUGGGGGUAACCCGUGACCCAGCGACGCCGCGUGAGGGACGAAGGUUUUCGGAUCGUAAACCUCUGUUGUACGGGAAGAAGAAUUGACGGUACCGUACGAGAAAGCCCCGGCAAACUACGUG
RNAcentral lists this ribosomal RNA (469 nucleotides) under uncultured bacterium. RNAcentral describes it as "bacterial SSU rRNA". It matches the Rfam family "Bacterial small subunit ribosomal RNA", at positions 28 to 507 of the family's 1533-position model. The record is from RNAcentral.